CCCUUUUCCACCUGACUGGCCAUGGUUUCUUGCACUGAUAUGCUUUUCUCCUCCUAGAAUGGUGUUCCUCACAUUGUGGUUGGAUCUACACCACCAUCACCACCACCAUCACUCAGGAGCUUGUUAGAAAUGCAGAUUCUCUGGCUCUGCCCCAGGUACUCUGGGGGUGGGACCCAGCUCUCCCUAUUUUAAUAAGCCCAUGGGGGAUACUAAGUUUGAGGGCCACCGGCAUUGUCUCUUACACCUAAAAUCCCCCAGGAAGAGACUUACUUGGUUUUCUGAUCCACGUGUGGAGGACCUGUCCAGUUGCAUGCAGCUUGCAAUGAUGGAAUGUCUGCCCAAGGAAGAAGGUGCAGCAGGAAAGAUGGCUCUGGGCAUUACCAUAGCAACUGUACCUUUCCAAAGCUGUCAUGGACUACAGGAGCAGGGCGUAAGCAAUGCAGAAGAGGGGGAGUCUGCUGGUGGAAGAAGCACACCCAGCAGUGGAGAGGGCUGUGACAAUAAAUGGAACCUCAGCACAGCUGGGAUUUAUGAACCUGAACCUGGUGGGAUCUCGACUUCCUUGAGACCCAGGAUGCCUCUGGGACCUCUCCAGGGGUCUUCCUAGCUACACAUCAGCACCAGCCCAGGGGGCCCACAAUGCUGACAGAAUAUGCCAGUUCUCUCAAAAGGUCAUUUUUAUGUGUACUUAGUCACUCAGUCGUGUCUGACUCUUUGCAACUCCAUGGACUAUAGCUCGCCAGGCUCCUCUGUCCUUGGGGUUCUCCAGGCAAGAAUAGUGGAGUGGGUAGCCAUUUCCUUUCUCCAGGGGAUCUUCCUGACCCAGGGAUCAAACCUGGGUCUCCUGCAUUGCAAGCAGAUUCUUUACCAUCUGAGCCACCAGGGAGGCAGGUUAAAGUAGGCUAGCUCCUAAAUGGUCAUGAAGCAAUUAAGAAGGAAAUGCCCACUACAGGAUGUAUCCUGUUACAGGUCAGGGUUAAGGACAGGGACCCAGCUUCAAGCUUCUGGUAGGGGUCUGUAUUCAAAAGCAGAUGCCAAGCAGCCAGGAGGCACAGCAGGGGCCUUAGAUAAUGGUAGAUAUUCCAGCUGGAAAAGAAAUCAACUGUUGAGAAUUUAUAUGAAAAUGGACCACCCAGACAUGUGAGUAGUCCCUGUGGCUCUCUCCUGUCUGCUUAGGAUCUUCUGGGUGCUGGUAAAGUGGGAGGCUGGAAGUUUGGAGCCUUUCCUGUGUUUGAAGACUCUGACUAUACUCUUCGGCAAAGGCCAAGCAGAGAGACAGCUGGAAGGUGGUCAGGCCUGCGGGGGCCCAGGAGACACUGCUGUUCACACCUGCACCUCAACUGGCCCAAGCCCUUGGCUGAUUUGAAGCCACUAGUGCUUCAAAUCUGUUCCUUUGAGUAUUUGCACUCUUUGGAAGAAGCAAGCAAUGCACAUGAAUCAGGAGGUGGGAUCUUAACUGUCCUCAGGGGCAGGGUGUGGGAAGUCAGGAUUGCAGAGGCAGCACCGAAUCACCCAUCGGUGUUCUCUGUGAGGCCCGGCCUACCUAGACCUUCCACACCUAAUCUCACCACUGGUUGGCACUGACUGUCCCCCAGGACAUUCCAUUU
Bos mutus (wild yak) is the source of this 1607-nucleotide long non-coding RNA. Lineage: Eukaryota; Metazoa; Chordata; Mammalia; Artiodactyla; Bovidae. The record is from Ensembl.